Haliotis rubra (blacklip abalone) is the source of this 400-nucleotide long non-coding RNA. RefSeq lists it as uncharacterized. Lineage: Eukaryota; Metazoa; Mollusca; Gastropoda; Lepetellida; Haliotidae. The transcript is spliced from 5 exons. The record is from RefSeq and is a predicted model, not a curated record.
UACCCCGACCUCCCCUGCUCCUCUGGACCCUAAGGUUGAAGGACAAGGAAGAUAAGUUACAUCCCUCAUCACUGUUUCCUGAAGAAAUACGAACUGGACAACAAAAUGAUGGAAGAUUGGCAGAAAGAGUGAUCAGUGACGUGUUGAGCCGCUGGACCGAUGAUUGAGCCUCCGUGCUGUGAGGAGCCACCUUUGACACAGGCUGCAUGUCAGGUCUAAUCGGUAUCCUUAAAAACACUCCGCUUCUCUUGGGCCAGGACCUGUUUCUAGAGUGAUGUUGUGGCACAUAAAGAUGAAAGGUGAUUUAGAAUGUGUGAGGCUGCACUUUGGCUUUGUUCAUGACAAGAUGGUGGGCGAGAGAAACCAUUGUACCACAUGUUGGAGUAAGCGAGUGAGUGAG